UACAGAGGGGGCAAGCGUUGUUCGGAAUUACUGGGCGUAAAGGGCGCGUAGGCGGCCUUCUAAGUCGAACGUGAAAUCCCUGGGCUCAACCCAGGAACUGCGUCCGAUACUGGAAGGCUUGAAUCCGGGAGAGGGAUGCGGAAUUCCAGGUGUAGCGGUGAAAUGCGUAGAUAUCUGGAGGAACACCGGUGGCGAAGGCGGCAUCCUGGACCGGUAUUGACGCUGAGGCGCGAAAGCCAGGGGAGCAAACAGG
Molecule: ribosomal RNA, 253 nt
Filed under: uncultured bacterium
Lineage: Bacteria
Description: partial 16S ribosomal RNA
Rfam family: Bacterial small subunit ribosomal RNA
Source: RNAcentral